UACGUAGGGCGCAAGCGUUAUCCGGAAUUAUUGGGCGUAAAGAGCUCGUAGGCGGUUUGUCGCGUCUGCCGUGAAAGUCCGGGGCUCAACUCCGGAUCUGCGGUGGGUACGGGCAGACUAGAGUGAUGUAGGGGAGACUGGAAUUCCUGGUGUAGCGGUGAAAUGCGUAGAUAUCUGAAGGAACAUCAGUGGCGAAAGCGACUUCCUGGACGAAUACUGACGCUCAUGUGCGAAAGCGUGGGGAGCAAACAGG
Molecule: ribosomal RNA, 253 nt
Filed under: uncultured bacterium
Lineage: Bacteria
Description: partial 16S ribosomal RNA
Rfam family: Bacterial small subunit ribosomal RNA
Source: RNAcentral